UUUUAGCCCUGAUGGAAGUGGAAAUCCUGUCAUUGCGAUUUUGAAUUGUGAGAUGUUACUGCUUUCUUCCUCGCAAUGACAGAUUGUAACGAACAGCAGGAAUAUGG
RNAcentral lists this small RNA (107 nucleotides) under Flavobacterium dankookense. Its description in RNAcentral is "Flavobacterium sp. ARSA-19 Flavo-1 RNA". It matches the Rfam family "Flavo-1 RNA". The record is from Rfam by way of RNAcentral. Lineage: Bacteria; Pseudomonadati; Bacteroidota; Flavobacteriia; Flavobacteriales; Flavobacteriaceae.